Molecule: ribosomal RNA, 460 nt
Filed under: uncultured bacterium
Lineage: Bacteria
Description: partial 16S ribosomal RNA
Rfam family: Bacterial small subunit ribosomal RNA
Source: RNAcentral
CCUACGGGAGGCAGCAGUGAGGAAUAUUGGUCAAUGGACGAGAGUCUGAACCAGCCAAGUAGCGUGAAGGAUGACUGCCCUAUGGGUUGUAAACUUCUUUUAUAUGGGAAUAAAAUGUUCCACGUGUGGGAUUUUGUAUGUACCAUAUGAAUAAGGAUCGGCUAACUCCGUGCCAGCAGCCGCGGUAAUACGGAGGAUCCGAGCGUUAUCCGGAUUUAUUGGGUUUAAAGGGAGCGUAGGUGGAUUGUUAAGUCAGUUGUGAAAGUUUGCGGCUCAACCGUAAAAUUGCAGUUGAAACUAGCAGUCUUGAGUACAGUAGAGGUGGGCGGAAUUCGUGGUGUAGCGGUGAAAUGCUUAGAUAUCACGAAGAACUCCGAUUGCGAAGGCAGUUCACUGGACUGCAACUGACACUGAGGCUCGAAAGUGUGGGUAUCAAACAGGAUUAGAUACCCGUGUAGUC